GGAAUUCUAACUACCUAAGGUUUUCUAAAAUUCAUAUGCAAAAUUUAAAUAACUAAAAUAAAUAAAUAAUUAUCAAAUAAAUUAUAAAUAAUUAGUAAAAAAAAUUAUAGUUGCAGGUAGUUCACAAGUAGAGAGUAAUAAGACAGGAGUAAGUAAUUUGCAAGUACAUCAUUUUUAGCAAGUAUUUGAAAUUGUAAAUCCCGAU
Molecule: long non-coding RNA, 205 nt
Filed under: Brassica rapa (field mustard)
Lineage: Eukaryota; Viridiplantae; Streptophyta; Magnoliopsida; Brassicales; Brassicaceae
Description: long non-coding RNA (BRAP_LNC003862)
Source: RNAcentral